Molecule: long non-coding RNA, 504 nt
Filed under: Helianthus annuus (common sunflower)
Lineage: Eukaryota; Viridiplantae; Streptophyta; Magnoliopsida; Asterales; Asteraceae
Description: hypothetical non coding rna
Source: RNAcentral
ACAAGAGGGAGAGAGCUAAGGGAAACCCUAGUUCUUCAAAUCUCUACAAAAUUGAAGGAGUAAAAGGCCAGAUUUUCAAAGCAUGAGUUAGGAAUCAUGAUCCCUUAAGUGUUAUAAGUAUCAUGCACGAAGGAAGAAGGCACGAGUCAUUCUAAAACUCCAGAAACGCAAGAUCGCUUGUUAAAGAUAUGGCGCAGGCACGAAGAAGGAAGAAGGCACGAGUCAUUCUAAAACUCCAGAAACGCAAGAUCGCUGUAAGUUCAUAUGAACUUCAUUUACCUUUUAUGUAAAUUUACAAAUGGUAAUUUUAGAAUUAAAGCCUCAGUGUAAAGUGUAUAGUGGUUCAUGUUAAAAAUUGUGAUAAGUAGAGUAUCGAAAGAUGAAUAGAGAUGCAAUGUCAAUGGUCAUGCAAUGAUUCGCUUCAAGCGGAUCAAAAUGUUGGAAAGUGUAAUGUUGGAAUGGUUUAUGUAAUGACUUGUUGAUAACGGGUCGAAUUGACGAAAG